GACGAACGCUGGCGGCGUGCUUAACACAUGCAAGUCGAGCGGUAAGGCCCUUUCGGGGGUACACGAGCGGCGAACGGGUGAGUAACACGUGGGUGACCUGCCCUCAGCUCUGGGAUAAGCCCGGGAAACUGGGUCUAAUACCGGAUAUGACUCCACGACGCAUGUUGUGGGGUGGAAAGCCUUGUGCGGCUGAGGAUGGGCCCGCGGCCUAUCAGCUUGUUGGUGGGGUGAUGGCCUACCAAGGCGACGACGGGUAGCCGGCCUGAGAGGGCGACCGGCCACACUGGGACUGAGAUACGGCCCAGACUCCUACGGGAGGCAGCAGUGGGGAAUCUUGCGCAAUGGGCGAAAGCCUGACGCAGCGACGCCGCGUGA
RNAcentral lists this ribosomal RNA (375 nucleotides) under uncultured bacterium. RNAcentral's name for it is "bacterial SSU rRNA". It matches the Rfam family "Bacterial small subunit ribosomal RNA", at positions 28 to 404 of the family's 1533-position model. The record is from RNAcentral.